Molecule: ribosomal RNA, 114 nt
Filed under: Pteropus alecto (black flying fox)
Lineage: Eukaryota; Metazoa; Chordata; Mammalia; Chiroptera; Pteropodidae
Also listed under: 1 other name
Source: RNAcentral
GUCUAUGGCUACCCUGAACAAGCCUGAUACUUUCUGAUCUCGGAAGCUAAGCAGGGUCAGGCCUGGUUAGUACUUGGAUGGGAGACCACCUAGGAAGACCAGGUGCUAUAGGUG